AAACUGACAGAUGUGGUUUCCAGAAAGUCAGAUAAUUUAGAAGUCGAGAAAAAGACAAAACUAAAUGUUCUGGAGGCUGGAAGUCCAAGAUCAAGGUGCUAUCAGGGUUGGUUUCGGCUGUGGCCUCUCUUCCUGGCUUGUAGACAGCUAUCUUCUCGCAGUGUCCUCACGUGGCCUCUUUGUGUGAAGGAAGCUGCUAAAGAAUGUGCUUGACUAAAACAAGGCAAUAAGCAAAAGGAAGUCAUAGCAUCCAGAAAAUGGGAUCCAUCAUGCGCACAAAGAAAAGGUGAAGAAAAUUUCCAGGAUGUUCAGAACCCACCAAAAACGAAAGAUUCUGGUCCAGAUCAGAAGAGAGGGAAACACUCUGAAAAAGUCCCUCAAAUACAAAAUUAAACAGAGUUUAAAUGAUGUGCUUGACCACAAUAAAAGGCUUCUUGCUCUGUAAGAUUUCUGGAAUUAAUUAGUGAUAAGCAAAGAUAAAUAUAAGCAAAUCAUCACAACAGAGUGAACACAUUCCAGUAGACCACAUGGAUGAGCUUUGGAAAAUACAGAUAUACGCAUAAUGUAAUCCCUUAAUUUCUGGGAGGCUGGAGGGAGGGAAAGUUUGAGAAGGUAAAAUGUGUGUGUUAAGAGUGGGAGUGGGUAAUAUGGUUAGGCUUUGUGUUCCCACACAAAUCUCAUCUGGAAUUGUAAUCCCCAUAAUCCCCACUUAUCAAGGGAGAAACCAGGUGGAGAUAACUGAAUCAUUGGAGGCAGUUUCCCCCAUGCUAUUCCUCUGAUAGUGAAUUCUCAUGAGAUCCAAUGAUUUUAUAACGGACUCUUCCCCCUUCACUCAGCACCUCCCUUCCUACUGUGUCCGGAAAUGGUGGGUUCUUGGUCUCACUGACUUCAAGAAUGAAGCCGCGGACCCUCGCGGUGAAUGUUACAGUUCUUAAAGGCAGCGUGUCCGGAGUUUGUUCCUUCUGAUGUUCGGAUGUGUUCAGAGUUUCUUCCUUCUGGUGGGUUCGUGGUCUCGCUGGCUCAGGAGUGAAGCUGCAGACCUUCCCGGUGAGUGUUACAGCUCAUAAAGGCAGUGCAGACCCAAACAGUGAGCAGUAGCAAGAUUUAUUGCAGAGUGAAAGAACAAAGCUUCCACAGCGUGGAAGCGGACCCUGCAGGUUGUCACUGCUGGCUGGCGCAGCCUGCUUGUAUUCCCUUAUCUGGCCCCACCCACAUCCUGCUGAUUGGUCCAUUUUACAGAGAGCGGAUUGGUCUGUUUUAGAGAGAGUUGAUUGGUGUAUUUACAAUCCCUUAGCUAGACAUAAAGGUUCUCCAAGUCCCCACUAGACUCAGGAGCCCAGCUGGCUUCACCUAGUGGAUCCCGCGCUACACUGGGGCUG
This 1379-nucleotide long non-coding RNA is filed under the name Homo sapiens (human). Its description in RNAcentral is "HSALNT0329013". Lineage: Eukaryota; Metazoa; Chordata; Mammalia; Primates; Hominidae. The record is from RNAcentral.